RNAcentral lists this ribosomal RNA (590 nucleotides) under Emericellopsis sp. GYJ3(2). RNAcentral's name for it is "eukaryotic LSU rRNA". It matches the Rfam family "Eukaryotic large subunit ribosomal RNA", at positions 39 to 656 of the family's 3401-position model. Lineage: Eukaryota; Fungi; Ascomycota; Sordariomycetes; Hypocreales; Bionectriaceae. The record is from RNAcentral.
CAUAUCAAUAAGCGGAGGAAAAGAAACCAACAGGGAUUGCCCCAGUAACGGCGAGUGAAGCGGCAACAGCUCAAAUUUGAAAUCUGGCCUUGUGCCCGAGUUGUAAUUUGUAGAGGAUGCUUUUGGCGACGCGCCUUCCGAGUUCCCUGGAACGGGACGCCAUAGAGGGUGAGAGCCCCGUCCGGUCGUGCGCCUAGCCUCUGUAAAGCUCCUUCGACGAGUCGAGUAGUUUGGGAAUGCUGCUCUAAAUGGGAGGUAUACGUCUUCUAAAGCUAAAUACCGGCCAGAGACCGAUAGCGCACAAGUAGAGUGAUCGAAAGAUGAAAAGCACUUUGAAAAGAGGGUUAAAUAGUACGUGAAAUUGCUGAAAGGGAAGCGCUUAUGACCAGACUUGGGCGCGGCGGAUCAUCCGGCGUUCUCGCCGGUGCACUCCACCGCCCCAGGCCAGCAUCAGUUCGCGCCGGGGGAUAAAGGCUUCGGGAAUGUGGCUCCUCCGGGAGUGUUAUAGCCCGUUGCGUAAUACCCUGGUGCGGACUGAGGUCCGCGCUCUGCAAGGAUGCUGGCGUAAUGGUCAUCAGUGAUCCCCCCUC